Molecule: long non-coding RNA, 213 nt
Filed under: Elaeis guineensis (African oil palm)
Lineage: Eukaryota; Viridiplantae; Streptophyta; Magnoliopsida; Arecales; Arecaceae
Description: long non-coding RNA (EGUI_LNC050217)
Source: RNAcentral
AUGGUCGAUCAGAUACCUCCUUCUUCUUGAUUUGGACUCUUCCAAAGAUGAGAAGUAGGACAAGGAGUUUUAGAUGAGACACUCUCAGAAAACUUAUAGAUGGAGGAAGGGAAGGGAUGAACCCAGCAACUCUAGAAGAAGACCCUCUUCUUCUUCUUUUUGCUCUAACCCACCAGACACCUAGUUUUGUGUCUAUUAGAUCUCCAUGCCCCA